This 253-nucleotide ribosomal RNA is filed under the name uncultured bacterium. RNAcentral's name for it is "partial 16S ribosomal RNA". It matches the Rfam family "Bacterial small subunit ribosomal RNA", at positions 524 to 776 of the family's 1533-position model. The record is from RNAcentral.
UACGAAGGGGGCUAGCGUUGCUCGGAAUCACUGGGCGUAAAGGGUGCGUAGGCGGGUCUUUAAGUCAGGGGUGAAAUCCUGGAGCUCAACUCCAGAACUGCCUUUGAUACUGAGGAUCUUGAGUUCGGGAGAGGUGAGUGGAACUGCGAGUGUAGAGGUGAAAUUCGUAGAUAUCUGGAGGAACACCGGUGGCGAAGGCGGCAUCCUGGACCGACACUGACGCUGAGGCGCGAAAGCUAGGGUAGCAAACGGG